Bombina bombina (fire-bellied toad) is the source of this 2864-nucleotide RNA transcript. RefSeq lists it as uncharacterized. NCBI's taxonomy places the organism in Eukaryota, Metazoa, Chordata, Amphibia, Anura, Bombinatoridae. The transcript is spliced from 2 exons. The record is from RefSeq and is a predicted model, not a curated record.
GGAACCUGCUGGCCCUUCCAGGACAAAAAAUGCGACAAGGGUAGCGCAUGCACCUUCAGACAUGUCUGCAGGUACUGCUCUGGUCCACACCCUGGCAGUGACUGCAUCAAGCGAAGGGACCAGACCAAUAAGCCCCCUUCAGCAAACUUGGGCCAGAAAGGCGGAAACGCCAAUUAAUGUACAUGCCAUGGCACCAUGGUUGUGGGCUUACCCAGACCAGGCGGCGGCACGUAUGUUAUGGGAGGGUUUUUCAUUUGGUUUUCAUAUCCCCACAUUUAGGCAAAUCAAGGGUAAGAGAUUUAAUAGGAACCUUAUUUCAGCAUACCAACACCCCCAAGUAGUGAGGGAUAAAAUUAAUAAAGAAGUGACUUUAGGGCGAAUGGCGGGCCCCUUUGCUGCCCCACCUUUACCUGAUUUGGUCAUUUCCCCGUUGGGGGUGGUUCCCAAGAAAGAGCCAGGGAAGUUUCGCCUCAUUCAGCACCUGUCGUACCCAAAAGGUAGCUCAGUCAAUGAUGCCAUUGACCCCCAACUCAGCUCGGUGCGCUAUCAAUCCUUUGAUAGCGCACUAGACCUGGUCAGGAGGGCGGGUCAUGGUGCUCUAUUGGCGAAACUAGACAUUGAGUCGGCAUUUAGGCUUCUUCCACUCCACCCCUCAGUUUUCCAUCUAAUGGGUUGUAAGUUUGCAGGUGUGUACUACGUGGAUCGCUGCCUGCCCAUGGGCUGCUCUUUGUCAUGCGCCUUGUUUGAAGCGUUCAGUAGUUUCCUUCAUUGGGUCGUAGCUUCAGAAGUGGGCAGCGAUCCCAUAGCACACUACCUGGACGAUUUUCUCAUUGUAGGGAGAGCAGGCUCCGAUGAUUGUUUAUCCACAAUGAACAUCAUGCGCAGCGUCAUGAGACAUUUCGGGGUGCCCCUAGCAGAGGACAAAACGCAAGGCCCCGCGUCCUGUUUAGUUUUCCUGGGAAUCGAAAUCGACACCCAGGCUCGGCUCUGUAGGUUGCCACCUGAUAAAGUUCAGGGCAUGCUUGAGGCGGUCAGAGCGGCAGUCUCUAAUGCAGUUAUUUCCCUGAAACAGUUACAAUCCCUGUUAGGUUUGCUUAAUUUCGCUUGCAGAGUUAUCCCCAUGGGUCGGGUUUUUAACCGUAGACUGGAAAGACAGCUUAGUGGUAGGUCAAACCCGAAAUCAAAGAUAACCCUAGGGAGUGAAUUGCUGGCUGACCUGGUAGUCUGGGAACAGUUUCUCACGCGAUUUAACGGGAUUCGGGUCUGGCGUACCCCUCCCAUGUCUAGCCAGUUACUGCACCUUUUCACUGACGCAGCUGGAUCGCACGGUUACGGGGCCUAUUUCCAGGGAGAGUGGAGCGCGGAGCCCUGGCCGGAGUCCUGGGCCCCGGCGGGCCUUACUCGAAACCUGACUCUCCUGGAGCUAUUCCCCGUGGUCUUGGCGGUCGAGCUGUGGGGUGGGAAGUUGUCGAACGGGACUGUUGUGUUCUGGACAGACAACAUCAGUGUGGUCUUUGCGAUCAAUAACUUGUCAGCCACCUCAGCAAAGGUCAUUACCUUGCUGCGCCACCUGGUGUUGCGCUGUCUGGACCUUAACAUCCAGUUCCAGGCCCGUCAUGUCCCGGGCGUCGACAAUGUUGUAGCUGACGCCCUGUCACGAUUCGAAUGGGCGACAUUUCGCAAGUUAGCCCCCACAGCUGCAGCCGUGGGCUUACGCUGUCCUGAUUUCCUUUGGCAGCUCGUCCUUCCUGGAUAGCCUUACUGCCGUUGGUCCGCUCCUCCUUAGCACCAUCCACUUGGCACGCCUAUGCCCGCAUGUGGUCUGAAUGGGACAAUUUCUGUGCGUCCAGGGGAGCCGACGCUGCUCAGGGGUCUAGGGACAACUUACAUGAUUGGCUGGCACUACCCCCGGGGUGAAGCGAAUCUGGAUUGUGGGCCACUCCUUUGUCCACUGGGCCUCCCUACGCUGUGCGUCCCUCCCAUUUGGCCAAUCCCUAGGUCUCCCUACCAACAAGGCAUCCGUUAGGUGGUUGGGUGAUAGGGGGAUGUGCUGGCCCCAAUUAGCAGGAACCAUAUCUGAGGCCCUGGUACGCUGGGGGAAGCCUCACAUUAUUAUUCUUCACCUAGGGGGUAACGAUGUGGGGGCCAUACCAGUUUUACAGUUGAUUAAGGUUAUGCAGGCAGACAUUGGGUGGCUAAGAGUACGCAUCCCGGGGGUCAUGAUAGGGUGGUCCCAUAUAAUACCCCGUCUCCACUGGAGGCAUAUGUCGGCCCAUACGGCGGCAUACCGGGUUAGGAAGAAGAUCAAUGCGUCUGUAGCGAAAACCGUCACUGGGUCAGGUGGCUUCGUGGUACGGCACGAAGCCAUUUCGGCUGAUAGAACCGAGCUAUAUAGAAGGGAUAAAGUUCACCUUUCUGAUGUGGGGCUGGAUUUAUUCAUAGGGGACAUUCAGAGAGCUCUGUUACCCCUCCUGUAAAUCGGGUUGUGGGUUGGCGGCAAGGGUACCAUUAAAAUGCUUCCUUGUGGCGGGAGAUCCUCGGUCCGGUUGCGCAGGAGAAGGUCGCUAGGGGUGAGUGAUGGCCAGACUUCCGGGGAGGAGGGUAGGCCCUCACGUGCACGUGACGGUAACCCUCCUUCCUCCCUUUUGAGGGAUGGUCACGUGAUCUCUGCAACCCCUCAGCGUCAUCUCCUUAGGGCAGAGACCCCUCUGCUGCUGUUCCCGUUGGGCCGGUGAUCUCCUGCUGUUCUGGGUAGCUGAUCUCUAUGCCGCCAUAUAUAUUUUCAGUUCUAUCAGUUCUAUCUAGUUUGUUAGGUUAAUAAAAUUUUAUGGCCUGUGACGGUCACAAAAUUUUUCCCAUAAAAA